This 1454-nucleotide long non-coding RNA is filed under the name Ornithorhynchus anatinus (platypus). RNAcentral's name for it is "lncRNA (ENSOANG00000038072.1)". Lineage: Eukaryota; Metazoa; Chordata; Mammalia; Monotremata; Ornithorhynchidae. The record is from RNAcentral.
AUAAGAUAAUCAGGUUGGACACAAGUCCACGUCCCCCGUGGGACUCACACUCUGGAUCCCUAUUUUAUUCAUUCUUCCAUUCAUUCAUUCGAUUGUAUUUGUUGAGCGCUUACCGUGCGCAGGGCACUGUGCUAAACCCUUGGGAGAGUACGAUAUAGCGAUAAACAGACACAUUCCCUGCCCACAACGAGCUUACAGUCCACUUCGUUUUACAGAUGAAAUAACUGAGGCACAGAGAAGUGAACAUCCCCUGCCCACAACUAGCUCAAAGUGUACUUCCUUUUACGGUUGAAAUAACCGAGGCACAGAGAAGUGAAGUGACUUGCUUGAGAACACACAGCGGACGAGUGGCAGAGCUGGGAUUAGAACCCAGGUCCUUCUCAUUUCCAGGCCUCCGCUCUACCCACUCGGCAACACUGCUUCUCUUUGACCUUCUGCUCAGCCCCGUUCCCAAAAAGGCAGAAGAAAGGUCUAGCCGGUCACCUUCCAACUUUUCGGGUCAUGCCAUCUCCUCUACACUCUCGGGCACUUAUUUAUUGAGCAGGAAAGCCUCUCCUGCUCCAGGUGGUCAACGGCGCCUUGGAAGGCAAAGUAACGGAAGGGUAGUUUGGAACCGCUCCUCUUCAACGGCAGGACCCCGCCUAGGUUGUCUGUCUGCACGGUAAGCCCUCUCUAGACCCUAAGCACGUUACGGGCAGGGAACGUGCCUGCUAAUUCUGUCGUCCUCCUCCAAGUCCUUAGCACAGGAAUAAUGAUAGCAAUAACAAUAGCAUCUCUUAAGCGCUAACUGUUCUAAGCACUGGGGUGGGUACAAGUGAAUCAGGUUGGACCCAGUCCCUGUCCCACAUGGACCUCACAGUCUUAAUCCCCAUUUUGCAGAUGAGGUAACUGAGGCCCAGGGAAGUGAAGCGACUUGUCCAAGGUCGCACAACAUCCCGGGAUGAGAGGCCGGGUCCUUCCGACUCCCAGGCCCGUGCUCUAUCCACUGGGCCACGCAUCGUCCCUCGUCACGGGCAGGGAACGGGUCUGCCCGUCUGUUCUGUCAUACCGUCCCAAGUGCUUAGUGCAGUGUCCCUCACAGAGGAAGCGCCCAAUAAAUACGGUUGAUUGAUUUGGCCUGUACUCUGGCGCAGCGCCCCCGGCAGCCAUGCGGCAGAGCUGCAGAAAACCGACCUUGGCCCAGGGCCUCGUGGUGAGGUUAGUGGCUCUCGGGGCCAACCUAGUGGGGUUUUGGGGUCCCCAGAGCCAACAGGGAGGCUGUGGCUUCUCAUCUGGGGGUGUGGGGCUGGGCAGGAGCCCCUCAGCCCCCGUCAGGCCCGCCUCAGCUUGGUCCCGGUCCUGGGAUUGACCCUGUCCCGGCCACUACCGUGGAGAGAGGACGUAGCUGAAGCUUUCAUCAUAAUCGCCUCUGAAGUCAGACCACUGCUACGUCCCAGGGCGCCUGGCGUUUGUAC